Molecule: long non-coding RNA, 754 nt
Organism: Wyeomyia smithii (pitcher-plant mosquito)
Lineage: Eukaryota; Metazoa; Arthropoda; Insecta; Diptera; Culicidae
Exons: 2
Source: RefSeq, a predicted model, not a curated record
AAAGGAAGAAGAAGAACGACGACUGUUUGCAAUAAACACCAACAAUAUCUGAGAAAAAAAACAGUGUAUACUCACUCAAUAUUUUAGGUUAGUCUGAAUAUUACAAAUUUCUCCAUAAUGAUAAUUAACCACAACACCUACUUCUUCCACAUCUGAACCAAAACACGAACAAAACUGAUAGUGAAGCUUUCGUUAUUUUGACAGUUCUAUUUUUCGGAAUCUCGGUAAGAGUUUUUUUGGUUCGACAAGAUCUCGGUUAAAUGAUGCCAGAGUUCCGAGAUUCGGUAUUUCAGUUAACUGAACUCGGAAAUUUGCGGUUUUAUGGAUUUUUUUCUGGUAGCUUGGUAUUUCAUUUUAUCGAGGAAACAUUAUGCAGUAAAGUGUUUAGGGGCUCCAAAGUUCACAGGAAUCGUUAAAAAGCUAUAAUCUUUUUCAGGGCAACUAUUUCAAGCUUUAGAGCAACCUUUUGUUUCGCUUUUGCCGAUCAGUGUUAUCCACUAUACUUAAAAACCAUCAAGAGCAGCUGAUUCGGAAAUUUUUAAAAAUAUGAGUACUUCUUUCAAUUUUUUAUUUGCAUGCAAAAACAAUAAAAACACAUCAACUUCAUUCAAACAAUGCUAUUUAAAUAGCGAGUAUCAAUCUGCAUCAAAACACCGAUUUGUGAAAUUAGAUUCAUACUUGGGCGGAAUUGAAUUCAAGGCCCAAAUCAUUGUGCGGAAUAGAGGAUUAAACAUUGACAACUGCUCAUACCAGA